GAUGAACGCUGGCGGCGUGCCUAAUACAUGCAAGUCGAGCGAACAGACGAGGAGCUUGCUCCUCUGACGUUAGCGGCGGACGGGUGAGUAACACGUGGAUAACCUACCUAUAAGACUGGGAUAACUUCGGGAAACCGGAGCUAAUACCGGAUAAUAUAUUGAACCGCAUGGUUCAAUAGUGAAAGACGGUUUUGCUGUCACUUAUAGAUGGAUCCGCGCCGCAUUAGCUAGUUGGUAAGGUAACGGCUUACCAAGGCGACGAUGCGUAGCCGACCUGAGAGGGGGAAUGGACCAAAUGGAAAUGAGACAAGGUACAGACUCCUAAGGGAGGCAGCAGUAGGGAAUCUUCCGGCAUGGGCGAAAGGCUGACGGAGGAACGCCGGGGGAGUGAUGAAGGUCUUCGGAUCGUAAAACUCUGUUAUUAGGGAAGAACAAAUGUGUAAGUAACUAUGCACGUCUUGACGGUACCUAAUCAGAAAGCCACGGCUAACUACGUG
RNAcentral lists this ribosomal RNA (497 nucleotides) under uncultured bacterium. RNAcentral describes it as "partial 16S ribosomal RNA". It matches the Rfam family "Bacterial small subunit ribosomal RNA", at positions 28 to 507 of the family's 1533-position model. The record is from RNAcentral.